UAAAUAAAUUUUUUAUGUUUUAUGAAUUUUAUUAUAAAUUUAUUUUACAUAUAAAUUUUAGUGUUAUAUUUUAAUUAUUUAAAUAAUAAUUAAUUAUUUAAGUAGUAAUUGAUAUUAAAAAUUUAAGUAAUUAAGAUUUAGUAAUAUAAAAAUUAAUAACUAAUUUUGUGCCAGCAGUUGCGGUUAUACAAAAAUUAAAUUAAAUUAUUUCAGUUUAUAAUAAAUAAUUUUAAUUUAAAAUAAAUAUUAAAUUAUUAAGUGAAAUUUUAAUUUAAAUAAAUUUUAUUUUUAAAUUAUGAUUUAAUAAAUUUUAAUUUAAACUAGGAUUAGAUACCCUAUUAUUAAAAAUUAAUUUAUAAUACUAAAAUAGUAAAUAAUUAUUUAUUGAAACUUGAAUAAUAUGGCGGUAUUUUAGUUCAUUUAGAGGAAUCUGUCUAAUAAUUGAUAUUCCACGAAUAAAUUUACUUAAUUUUAUAUUUUGUAUAUCAUUGUUAAAAAAAUAUUUUUAAAUGAAAAUAAUAUUUAAAUUUUUAAAUAAAAAAUUAGUUCAGAUCAAGAUGCAGAUUAUAAUUAAGAAUAUGAUGGAUUACAAUAAAAAUAUUUAAAUGAAUGAUAUUAUUUAAAUUUAAAUUUGAAAGUGGAUUUAAAUGUAAUUUUAAUUAGUUUAUUAAAAUGAUUAAAAAUUAAAAUAUGUACAUAUUGCCCGUCACUUUCAUUUUAAAGUUGAAAUAAGUCGUAACAAAGUAGAUGUACUGGAAAGUGUAUCUAGAAA
This 772-nucleotide non-coding RNA is filed under the name Sasakia funebris. Lineage: Eukaryota; Metazoa; Arthropoda; Insecta; Lepidoptera; Nymphalidae. The record is from RNAcentral.